GUUGAGAGUGUGCAAACCUGAAUAGAAUACCAAUCCUCCUCCCUUCUUCACCCAACCUCUCUCCCAUGGCAAUGGCCAUCAUCGAAGCGGGGCGGCGGCCCUGGUGAGGUCUGCGGAGGCCGCGGCCGGCGGAGGCCAUGGGGAUGGGUCGGCGGUUUGGUGUGGUGACGAGCAUCUCGGCGUCUCCAUCCGCGUGGGGGAGACCGAGUCGUUGUGGAGGUUUGAGUCUGCCAAAGUACGCAAUAUAUAUAGCUGCUGGAGAGUGGCUCAAGGUGAAGGAGUAGCAGCUGCUCAGGAGGAACGCGGUUGAGAUGCUUUGGGGGUUCGGUACGCAGGAGCACAUUGAUUUUGGUACAAAGUGAGUUGAUAUGGAGCCAGUACUUUUUUUUUUUGCACAUUGAUUUGGCGCAUCCACACAAAUAGCAGCGAAAAUGAAUGCAAGCCUUCGGUUCCUAAUUAAGUGUUGACUCUGUUAUUAUUUGACAACAAUCUAUUGGAAUCGUGGUGCGUAACUUAUUCUCUUUCAGUUUAAUAAUGCA
Triticum aestivum (bread wheat) is the source of this 539-nucleotide long non-coding RNA. RefSeq lists it as uncharacterized. The transcript has 2 exons. The record is from RefSeq and is a predicted model, not a curated record. NCBI's taxonomy places the organism in Eukaryota, Viridiplantae, Streptophyta, Magnoliopsida, Poales, Poaceae.